RNAcentral lists this transfer RNA (82 nucleotides) under candidate division Zixibacteria bacterium RBG_16_43_9. RNAcentral describes it as "tRNA-Leu". It matches the Rfam family "tRNA". Rfam says of the family: Transfer RNA (tRNA) molecules are approximately 80 nucleotides in length. Their secondary structure includes four short double-helical elements and three loops (D, anti-codon, and T loops). RNAcentral also lists the same sequence under 3 other names. Lineage: Bacteria; Pseudomonadati; Candidatus Zixiibacteriota. The record is from RNAcentral.
GCGGAAGUGGUGGAAUUGGCAGACACGCUAUCUUGAGGGGGUAGUGGGGUGACCCGUGGGGGUUCAAGUCCCCCCUUCCGCA